GUUGAGACACCGAUUUCUGCAAGAACACCGAAGUUAAGCAACGUUGAGCCUGGUCAGUAUCUAGGUGGGUGACCGCUUGGGAAUACCAGGUAUUGUAAG
Non-coding RNA from Acanthosepion pharaonis, 99 nucleotides. NCBI's taxonomy places the organism in Eukaryota, Metazoa, Mollusca, Cephalopoda, Sepiida, Sepiidae. The record is from the annotation of a GenBank genome assembly.